GAGUUUGAUCAUGGCUCAGGAUGAACGCUGGCGGUAUGCUUAACACAUGCAAGUCGAACGGAUGUUUUCGGACAUUAGUGGCGGACGGGUGAGUAACGCGUGAGAUCUAGCUUCAGGUUGGGGACAACAGUUGGAAACGACUGCUAAUACCGAAUAUGCCGAGAGGUGAAAGAUUAAUUGCCUGAAGAAGAGCUCGCGUCUGAUUAGCUAGUUGGUGGGGUAAGAGCUUACCAAGGCGACGAUCGGUAGCUGGUCUGAGAGGACGAUCAGCCACACUGGGACUGAGACACGGCCCAGACUCCUACGGGAGGCAGCAG
Molecule: ribosomal RNA, 317 nt
Filed under: uncultured soil bacterium
Lineage: Bacteria
Description: bacterial SSU rRNA
Rfam family: Bacterial small subunit ribosomal RNA
Source: RNAcentral